Molecule: long non-coding RNA, 1255 nt
Filed under: Equus caballus (horse)
Lineage: Eukaryota; Metazoa; Chordata; Mammalia; Perissodactyla; Equidae
Description: lncRNA (ENSECAG00000049900.1)
Source: RNAcentral
GCCUGGGCCUGGGCCUAUUUAGGAUUCUGUUAUUUGAGUGUUUUCUCAUCACAUCUUUCCCCCAUCCCAGCUCAAAAGUCUCAGAUAAUCAAAGACUCUAGAAAUAAUGGUUAUUUUCAAUUUUUUAUUUUCUUGAGUUCUAAACGACAAGGACAGAGGAGGAAUGAUAAAUCUAAGGUUUUUACAUCUCUAAUUCCAACCCAUUUCAUUUGAGCAAAUCCAUCUUAAAGUAGAGGCAGCACAAGAGACGAGGGUAUCUUCUUUGUAAGAGGGGUCUACUAGUAUUGUCUACGGGUAUUGUUUACUAGUAUUGAGCUGCUUCUGAAUUAACUCCUUGCAAUCAGUCACUGAUUAGGAAACUGCAACUGCCCAGUGAUUAGAAUUUCAGGUGCACCAAGUUAAAAACCUCUUAUAAACCCAGUGCAGGGUCACAUGGUUGUUUCUCAGGUGAAGGGGCCACCACAGCUCCGGACAGAAGGCAACCAUUGGAGAGCAGGGAGGGGAUGGAGUGUAUGUGAGGGGAGUGUGAUGAGGGGUUUCAUUUGUCACUCUCUUUGAGUCUGUCUGAAGACCUCCCCACAUAGGGCCUACAACCACUUCUACAGCCCGGGCCUAAGAGCAGGUGCCUCACAGGCUUUUUCUGAUUCCUCUGUUCUUGUUAACACAGGGCACAGCUGUGUGGUCCCCACUCUCUGUAAAACUAAAACCACCAUCUCCCAAGGCUUCAGCCAGAAGAGUGAGCUAACAAUGCACAGGCCAAAAGAAAACUGGACUUGGAAAAACUAGCUUCACACAAGGCAAGGAUGCAAUCUGAAGCACACUUUCCAAUGUCAGAAAAUGAUUAAAAAACCAAAAACCAACCACCUCCACUCCACAAUCAGCUUUCCAAAUGGCUGUUUCUCAUGCACCCAAUAUCCAAGUUUUGUCACAGCAAGAGAUGAGACUGUUCUGAGGGAAUGUGAGCGACUUCUUAACCUGGACAGAUGCACACUGGCAGCUUCACUCACGACACUAAGCCAGACAUUUACUCUAAUGAUACCAUCAUUGCUGGCCCCCACCCCCAUCGUUCCCCCAGCCACUUCCCAACCGUCUGGGAACUGCAUCCUUUAGAAUAUCCCGAUUGGCACUACUCGGCCUCCUCUGAGGAUACAUUUGAUUUGGGACGGCAACCAUGUUUGGUGAGAAAGGUGAAUCAAGCUAGAUUAUACCAACUGGCGUGAAGCACAGGUUACGACUGUAUAAGGAAGGAGGUCGA